This 512-nucleotide long non-coding RNA is filed under the name Phaseolus vulgaris (common bean). Its description in RNAcentral is "long non-coding RNA (PVUL_LNC000772)". Lineage: Eukaryota; Viridiplantae; Streptophyta; Magnoliopsida; Fabales; Fabaceae. The record is from RNAcentral.
AACCAAGUUGCAAAGGAAAUAAGAAAACUCCCUUUGUUGUUCCUCCUUUUGGUUAGUGCACUUCUUUGUUGUCUUGAUUGUUGAUCUCCUAAGUGUUUGUAGUGUUUGUUUCAAGAGAGCUUGUUUCGGCUUUGGCUUUGUCUCCUCCUUAGAAUGUUGGCUUUAAUUCUCCAAUUUCCAGCACCUAUUCACAAGGGCUAAACCUUAAACCAAGUCAAAUUCCAUGCACAUAAGCACCAAGGGAGAAGUUAAAUUCCAGCACCCAAAAAGAGAGGUCAAGGAACAAAAGCAAGAAACAAAUUUAAUUGAAAGAAAACAGUACCACCAAAAGGAUUUAUAAUAUGACAACUUAGAAAGAGAUUCAAGAAAUUAAAGCAAACAAUUAAAGGUACUCAAUAAAAGUUGGCACACAAAAAGAAUUCCUAAAGAAAAGCACUAGAUUUAGAUGACCAAAUAAAAAAAAACAGCACCACUGGAAAAUGUUGUGGGCCAGAAAACGUGUUUGUUCCCCG